UACGGGGGGGGCAAGCGUUGUUCGGAAUUACUGGGCGUAAAGGGCUCGUAGGUGGCCAACUAAGUCGGACGUGAAAUCCCUCAGCUUAACUGGGGAACUGCAUCCGAUACUGGAUGGCUUGAGUUUGGGAGAGGGAUGCGGAAUUCCAGGUGUAGCGGUGAAAUGCGUAGAUAUCUGGAGGAACACCGGUGGCGAAGGCGGCAUCCUGGACCAACACUGACACUGAGGAGCGAAAGCCAGGGGAGCAAACGGG
RNAcentral lists this ribosomal RNA (253 nucleotides) under uncultured bacterium. RNAcentral describes it as "partial 16S ribosomal RNA". It matches the Rfam family "Bacterial small subunit ribosomal RNA", at positions 524 to 776 of the family's 1533-position model. The record is from RNAcentral.